Chiloscyllium plagiosum (whitespotted bambooshark) is the source of this 624-nucleotide long non-coding RNA. RefSeq lists it as uncharacterized. The record is from RefSeq and is a predicted model, not a curated record. NCBI's taxonomy places the organism in Eukaryota, Metazoa, Chordata, Chondrichthyes, Orectolobiformes, Hemiscylliidae.
CAGGUAACCUGACAUUCCCAGUGUCCAGUACAUCCUCGCCUCCCACCACCCAGGGGCUCCCCAUCACGGUGGAGUACAACAUUGUGGACGGACUGACCCAUUCCUUCGGCGAUGCUGUGAGCGUUUCCGUGCCUGGAGGAAGUCCCUUGAUCCGGGUUCUGGAACGGGCCCGGGAUCUGUAUCCCGAUCGUUUCAGCUUUAGUAUCACACAGAAACUGUGGGGCCCAUCUCUGACCACCGUCCAGGGUCUAACGGCAUCCAGUCAGAACAGAACUUAUUGGCAGCUCCUGAGUGGAUCCAAGCCACUGGAUCAGGGUAUCGGUGAUUACAAGCCCAAAGACGGGGAGCAAAUCUUUGCAAAAUACAGCAACUACUGAUAGGGAACUGAGUGCGAUUCAGGAAGGGAAAUCGAGAACGAUGGAACGCAAGGAAGGAAUCUUCCCCUUCUCCCAUGAUGCUGCCUUCCAGUACCAUCCCAGCAUACCUCCUGCUUAUUCGGAAAUCACCCACCCCUUUCUCCACACGCAGAAGUCGUUCUGCUUUGAACUUGGAAGCCUCUCAAACUAACUGAAAGAUGCUGUCUGUAUCACCUCUCUGACUGAUUAAUACUGAGCUCACACCAUU